CAAGUCACCACCACCACCAUACGUCUACUUAUCUCCACCACCACCAGUGAAGUCACCACCACCACCAUACGUCUACUCAUCUCCACCUCCACCAGUCAAGUCUCCCCCACCACCAUAUGUCUACUCAUCUCCACCACCACCAGUACAUUCACCACCCCCACCAUACGUCUACUCGUCUCCACCCCCACCAUCACCAUCACCUCCUCCACCAUACCUCUACCAAUCACCACCUCCACCAGAGAAAUCUCCUCCACUUCCAUAUUACCUCUACGCAUCCCCACCACCCCCAAUCUACUAGUAAGCUUGAACAGUGGGUUUCCUUUGCUUCUUAAAUGUUGUCAUCUGUUUGCUAGUGCAAUAAGGAAAGUCACCUCCAUGAAACUCAUGGAGAUCAUGAUUCAAGCUUUGGGAUUACAAGUUCUGAAUAAAGGUCUUGGUGAAAUCGAGAGUUCAAAUCUUCAAAUGUCAGACCAAAUGAUUUCUACUACUUCUUUAGUUACAUUCUUACACAUUUUGUUAUUGGUUUAUUCAAGUAAAAGUAGGAAUCAGCUACGGAAGAAGAAAGAAAUGUAGUUGUGAGGGAGGCUUGGGUUUGUGACUUAUUGUUUUAGAGAGUUUUUCUAGUAGAGGUGUUUUUCUUUUUCUAUUUAAUUUUCCAUAUUUUGUUGUAUAAAUCAGGAUAUUUAUUUGUUAGGAUUUCUUUGUGCUUUAUGCACCUUCAUGUUUCGAAUAAAAUCAUGGUUUUUUAUUCUAUCUAUUCAACUCUA
Papaver somniferum (opium poppy) is the source of this 767-nucleotide long non-coding RNA. RefSeq lists it as uncharacterized. NCBI's taxonomy places the organism in Eukaryota, Viridiplantae, Streptophyta, Magnoliopsida, Ranunculales, Papaveraceae. The transcript has 2 exons. The record is from RefSeq and is a predicted model, not a curated record.